UUGUGUUUGAUGGUGUGUGGUGGUGUUUGACGGUAUGAGGUGGCGUAUGAUUGUGUUUGACGGUAUGAGGUGGCGUAUGAUUGUGUUUGAUGGUAUGAGGUGGCGUAUGAUUGUGUUUGAUUGUGUGAGGUGGCGUAUGAUUGUGUUUGAUGGUAUGAGGUGGCGUAUGAUUGUGUUUGACGGUAUGAGGUGGCGUAUGAUUGUGUUUGAUGGUAUGAGGUGGCGUAUGAUUGUGUUUGAUGGUGUGUGGUGGUGGUGUUUGUGCUGAAAUGUGUUACUCACGGUAAAAAAAAGGAACAAACUCGACGGUUAGAGGAGCCGCUUUAAACUUCUGUCUGCUCUUCUCCACGGUGCUGAUCUGCUGCCUACACACACACACAACACCACACACACACACACAGUAUUAUGAGACAAUCAACA
This is a long non-coding RNA of Ictalurus punctatus (channel catfish), 420 nucleotides long. NCBI's taxonomy places the organism in Eukaryota, Metazoa, Chordata, Actinopteri, Siluriformes, Ictaluridae. The record is from Ensembl.